CCUACGGGCGGCAGCAGUGAGGAAUAUUGGUCAAUGGGCGCGAGCCUGAACCAGCCAAGUAGCGUGAAGGACGAAGGUGCUAAGCAUUGUAAACUUCUUUUGUCAAGGGACAAAAUCAGGCUCGAGAGCCUGACCGAGUGUAUUUGAAGAAAAAGUAUCGGCUAACUCCGUGCCAGCAGCCGCGGUAAUACGGAGGAUGCGAGCGUUAUCCGGAUUUAUUGGGUUUAAAGGGUGCGUAGGCGGGCUGUUAAGUCAGCGGUGAAAGUCUGUGGCUCAACCAUAGAAUUGCUGUUGAAACUGGGGGGCUUGAGUAUGUUUGAGGCAGGCGGAAUGCGUGGUGUAGCGGUGAAAUGCUUAGAUAUCACGCAGAACCCCGAUUGCGAAGGCAGCCUGCCAAGCCAUGACUGACGCUGAUGCACGAAAGCGUGGGGAUCAAACAGGAUUAGAUACCCCUGUAGUC
This 460-nucleotide ribosomal RNA is filed under the name uncultured bacterium. RNAcentral's name for it is "partial 16S ribosomal RNA". It matches the Rfam family "Bacterial small subunit ribosomal RNA", at positions 338 to 795 of the family's 1533-position model. The record is from RNAcentral.